Molecule: long non-coding RNA, 1186 nt
Filed under: Capsicum annuum
Lineage: Eukaryota; Viridiplantae; Streptophyta; Magnoliopsida; Solanales; Solanaceae
Description: long non-coding RNA (CANN_LNC003837)
Source: RNAcentral
CCAACGGCUGUGAUGAUGAAGAAUUCCGUUUACAGGCGUGAUCAGCAGGAAACCUGUGCUUGAGGCAAACUUGAAUCUGGCAAGUCUUGCAAGUGCUAGUGUUGGAGAAGGUCAAGAUUCCCUUGCAUCGUUUCACAGGGCAGGUAGGUUUCUUCUUCUUCUUCGGGUCACAAUCCCCAGAUUUCUCGUGUUUCUGCAAUAUGGCCUUAUCGUCUUCAUUUUUGCAUCCGGUAGUCUCAAUGGACACGGAGCAAAUUUCGCAGACCAAAACCUUUCGGCUGUUAAAGUCGGCUUUUGGGCAUUCGUGAGACUUGCAUGAUCUAUGCUCCACACAGAAUACCUGCAACAAUGUUAUCAAGGGGCAUUCAUGAGGUACAUCUAGAUGAAGUAUGUUAAUUUUAUCCUCAUUAAGUUAGUUAGAUGUGCCAAAUAAAUUGAAAUAGAUGGUUAGUUAGAUGUGCCAAAUAAAUUGAAAUAGAUGGUUAGUUAGAUGUGCCAAAUAAAUUGAAAUAGAUGGUGCCACAUAAAUUGAGAUGGACAACACAAUUUAAGAUUUGAACUUUGUGGGUUUGGACUUGUUCAAAAUUUUUUGAUUAUUUGACAUAUAUUUAAGGUUUACGCCAAAGCGGGGUCAGCUGCAUACGACCCCGUAUUAUUGUAGCAGAUGAUAAAAUUAACAUGCUGUACAGAAUGAGUAAAGCAAAAUCGUAAAAUCUACCUUAUGACAAGCAUGGCAGGUAAAAGGGAGAAAAUCGAGUUGAUGACAAUCAGAUAGUUGGCAGUGUCUUCCUAAAUCUGGAAAAGCUUCUGUUCCUCCUCCCAUCCUCUUUCUUCUUCUUCUUUGCUUUUGUUUCUUGUCUUCCUUGUCAAAUACUGAUUUCUUCUCGAGUUGCCUGGAAUGGAGUCUUCAUGGGCUAUAUGAUAGGAUUUUAGGUGCUGGCUUGGGCAAUAAGCAAAAACAAAUUACAGGUGUGAAAGGAAAUAGCAAAGGAAGCCGUGGAGGUGCGGGAAUACGCGCUUACGUCAUCAAUCGGAUCCGGGUCGGUAAAUGCGGUCCAGAACGAUCCAGAAAGUUAGUUAGUUCAUGGCUCUCUGGGCCCAACCAAGCCUCUUCUGCUGGCUGACGCUUUGGGCUUAAUUUUGGUGUUUCUGGGCCUGAACUUCAUGAACUCAAACUGUAUCCAUU